CCUACGGGAGGCAGCAGUAGGGAAUUUUCGUCAAUGGGCGCAAGCCUGAACGAGCGAUGCCGCGUGAGUGAAGAAGGCCUUCGGGUCGUAAAGCUCUGUUGCGGGGGAAAAAAGGCAGCAUCAGGAAAUGGGUGCUGACUGAUGGUGCCCCGCCAGAAAGUCACGGCUAACUACGUGCCAGCAGCCGCGGUAAUACGUAGGUGGUGAGCGUUAUCCGGAAGGAUUGGGCGUAAAGGGUGCGCAGGCGGUCCUGCAAGUCUGGAGUGAAACGCAUGAGCUCAACUCAUGCAUGGCUUUGGAAACUGGAGGACUGGAGAGCAGGAGAGGGCGGUGGAACUCCAUGUGUAGCGGGAAAAUGCGUAGAUAUAUGGAAGAACACCAGUGGCGAAGGCGGCCGCCUGGCCUGUUGCUGACGCUGAGGCACGAAAGCGUGGGGAGCAAAUAGGAUUAGAUACCCGAGUAGUC
RNAcentral lists this ribosomal RNA (465 nucleotides) under uncultured bacterium. Its description in RNAcentral is "partial 16S ribosomal RNA". It matches the Rfam family "Bacterial small subunit ribosomal RNA", at positions 338 to 795 of the family's 1533-position model. The record is from RNAcentral.